This 2419-nucleotide small RNA is filed under the name Pan troglodytes (chimpanzee). RNAcentral's name for it is "retained intron". The record is from RNAcentral. Lineage: Eukaryota; Metazoa; Chordata; Mammalia; Primates; Hominidae.
GAGCGCUAACGUCUUUCUGUGUCCCCGCGGUGGUGAUGACGGUGAAAACUGAGGCUGCUAAGGGCACCCUCACUUACUCCAGGAUGAGGGGCAUGGUGGCAGUUCUCAUCGCUUUCAUGAAGCAGAGGAGGAUGGGUCUGAACGACUUUAUUCAGAAGAUUGCCAAUAACUCCUAUGCAUGCAAACACCCUGAAGUUCAGUCCAUCUUGAAAAUCUCCCAACCUCAGGAGCCUGAGCUUAUGAAUGCCAACCCUUCUCCUCCACCAAGUCCUUCUCAGCAAAUCAACCUUGGCCCGUCGUCCAAUCCUCAUGCUAAACCAUCUGACUUUCACUUCUUGAAAGUGAUCGGAAAGGGCAGUUUUGGAAAGGUUCUUCUAGCAAGACACAAGGCAGAAGAAGUGUUCUAUGCAGUCAAAGUUUUACAGAAGAAAGCAAUCCUGAAAAAGAAAGAGGAGAAGCAUAUUAUGUCGGAGCGGAAUGUUCUGUUGAAGAAUGUGAAGCACCCUUUCCUGGUGGGCCUUCACUUCUCUUUCCAGACUGCUGACAAAUUGUACUUUGUCCUAGACUACAUUAAUGGUGGAGAGUUGUUCUACCAUCUCCAGAGGGAACGCUGCUUCCUGGAACCACGGGCUCGUUUCUAUGCUGCUGAAAUAGCCAGUGCCUUGGGCUACCUGCAUUCACUGAACAUCGUUUAUAGAGACUUAAAACCAGAGAAUAUUUUGCUAGAUUCACAGGGACACAUUGUCCUUACUGACUUCGGACUCUGCAAGGAGAACAUUGAACACAACAGCACAACAUCCACCUUCUGUGGCACGCCGGAGUAUCUCGCACCUGAGGUGCUUCAUAAGCAGCCUUAUGACAGGACCGUGGACUGGUGGUGCCUGGGAGCCGUCUUGUAUGAGAUGCUGUAUGGCCUGCCUCCUUUUUAUAGCCGAAACACAGCUGAAAUGUAUGACAACAUUCUGAACAAGCCCCUCCAGUUGAAACCAAAUAUUACAAAUUCCGCAAGACACCUCCUGGAGGGCCUCCUGCAGAAGGACAGGACAAAGCGGCUCGGGGCCAAGGAUGACUUUGUGAGUGAUGUUUUCCUGUUCUCCUGGGCCAGCUGGGACGUGCACUAGACCUCCCUGCCCUUAUUGAAUGCACCUGUCUAAAUUAAUCUUGGGUUUCUUAUCAACAGAUGGAGAUUAAGAGUCAUGUCUUCUUCUCCCUAAUUAACUGGGAUGAUCUCAUUAAUAAGAAGAUUACUCCCCCUUUUAACCCAAAUGUGAGUGGGCCCAACGACCUGCGGCACUUUGACCCUGAGUUUACCGAAGAGCCUGUCCCCAACUCCAUUGGCAAGUCCCCUGACAGCGUCCUCGUCACAGCCAGCGUCAAGGAAGCUGCCGAGGCUUUCCUAGGCUUUUCCUAUGCGCCUCCCACGGACUCUUUCCUCUGAACACUGUUAGGGCUUGGUUUUAAAGGAUUUUAUGUGUGUUUCUGAAUGUUUUAGUUAGCCUUUUGGUGGAGCCGCCAGCCGACAGGACAUCUUACAAGAGAAUUUGCACAUCUCUGGAAGCUUAGCAAUCUUAUUGCACACUGUUCGCUGGAAGCUUUUUGAAGAGCACAUUCUCCUCAGUGAGCUCAUGAGGUUUUCAUUUUUAUUCUUCCUUCCAACGUGGUGCUAUCUCUGAAACGAGCGUUAGAGUGCCGCCUAGACAGAGGCAGGAGUUUCGUUAGAAAGCGGACGCUGUUCUAAAAAAGGUCUCCUGCAGAUCUGUCUGGGCUGUGAUGACGAAUAUUAUGAAAUGUGCCUUUUCUGAAGAGAUUGUGUUAGCUCCAAAGCUUUUCCUAUCGCAGUGUUUCAGUUCAUUUUCCCUCGUGGAUAUGCUGUGUGAACCAUCGUGUGAGUGUGGUAUGCCUGAUCACAGAUGGAUUUUGUUAUAAGCAUCAAUGUGACACUUGCAGGACACUACAACGUGGGACAUUGUUUGUUUCUUCCAUAUUUGGAAGAUAAAUUUAUGUGUAGACUUUUUUGUAAGAUAUGGUUAAUAACUAAAAUUUAUUGAAAUGGUCUUGCAAUGACUCGUAUUCAGAUGCUUAAAGAAAGCAUUGCUGCUACAAAUAUUUCUAUUUUUAGAAAGGGUUUUUAUGGACCAAUGCCCCAGUUGUCAGUCAGAGCCGUUGGUGUUUUUCAUUGUUUAAAAUGUCACCUGUAAAAUGGGCAUUAUUUAUGUUUUUUUUUUUUGCAUUCCUGAUAAUUGUAUGUAUUGUAUAAAGAACGUCUGUACAUUGGGUUAUAACACUAGUAUAUUUAAACUUACAGGCUUAUUUGUAAUGUAAACCACCAUUUUAAUGUACUGUAAUUAACAUGGUUAUAAUACGUACAAUCCUUCCCUCAUCCCAUCACACAACUUUUUUUGUGUGUGAUGAACUGAUU